Molecule: ribosomal RNA, 493 nt
Filed under: uncultured bacterium
Lineage: Bacteria
Description: partial 16S ribosomal RNA
Rfam family: Bacterial small subunit ribosomal RNA
Source: RNAcentral
GACGAACGCUGGCGGCGUGCCUAACACAUGCAAGUUGAGCGACGGACCAGGGCUUGCCCUGGGGCAAAGCAGCGAACGGGUGAGUAACACGUGGGUAACCUACCCCGAUAACCGGGACAACCCGAGGAAACUCGGGCUAAUACCCGAUGUGCUCACUGGACUUCGGUUCAGUGCGUAAAGGAAGCCUCGACCUCCGCAUCGGGAGGGGCCCGCGGCCGAUUAGUUAGUUGGUGCGGUAACGGCUCACCAAGACCGCGAUGCGUAGCUGGUCUGAGAGGACGAUCAGCCACACUGGGACUGAGACACGGCCCAGACUCCUACGGGAGGCAGCAGUGGGGAAUCUUGCGCAAUGGGCGAAAGCGUGACGCAGCAACGCCGCGUGGGGGAAGAAGGCCUUCGGGUUGUAAACCGCUUUUAGGAGGGAAGAAGGUUUGGGGGUGAAUAGCCGGCCGGACUGACGGUACCUGCACAAGAAGCACCGGCUAACUACGUG